RNAcentral lists this ribosomal RNA (620 nucleotides) under uncultured bacterium. RNAcentral's name for it is "bacterial SSU rRNA". It matches the Rfam family "Bacterial small subunit ribosomal RNA", at positions 40 to 659 of the family's 1533-position model. The record is from RNAcentral.
CGGGAGGCCUAAUACAUGCAAGUCGAACGGUAAGGUUCCUUCGGGAAUACACGAGUGGCGAACGGGUGCGUAACGCGUACACAACCUACCUUUAAGUGAGGGAUACCCCUGGGAAACUGGGAAUAAUACCUCAUAGUAUUAUAAAAUCUCAUGAUUUAAUAAUUAAAGUUCCGGCGCUUAAAGAUGGGUGUGCGUCUGAUUAGAUAGUUGGUGAGGUAACGGCUCACCAAGUCAACGAUCAGUAGCGGGUCUGAGAGGAUGAUCCGCCACACUGGGACUGAGACACGGCCCAGACUCCUACGGGAGGCAGCAGUAGGGAAUAUUGGACAAUGGGCGAAAGCCUGAUCCAGCCAUCCCGCGUGCAGGAUUAAGGCCCUAUGGGUUGUAAACUGCUUUUCUUAGGGAAGAAAAAGUUUGAUUUAUCAGAUGUUGACGGUACCUAAGGAAUAAGCACCGGCUAACUCCGUGCCAGCAGCCGCGGUAAUACGGGGGGUGCAAGCGUUAUCCGGAUUUACUGGGUUUAAAGGGUGCGCAGGCGGUAGAAUAAGUCAGUGGUGAAAGCCCGGGGCUCAACCUCGGAAUUGCCAUUGAUACUGUUUUACUUGAAUACGGUAAAGGUA